UACGUAGGUGGCGAGCGUUAUCCGGAAUUACUGGGCGUAAAGAGCACGUAGGCGGGAACUUAAGUCAGGUGUGAAAGACCGUGGAUCAACCACGGGGUUGCAUUUGAAACUGGGUUUCUUGAGGGCAGGAGAGGAAAGCAGAAUUCCUGGUGUAGCGGUGAAAUGCGUAGAAAUCAGGAGGAAUACCAGUGGCGAAGGCGGCUUUCUGGACUGACCCUGACGCUGAGGUGCGAAAGCGUGGGUAGCAAACAGGAUUAGAUACCCUGGUAGUCCCUGA
RNAcentral lists this ribosomal RNA (277 nucleotides) under uncultured prokaryote. Its description in RNAcentral is "partial 16S ribosomal RNA". It matches the Rfam family "Bacterial small subunit ribosomal RNA", at positions 524 to 800 of the family's 1533-position model. The record is from RNAcentral.